Molecule: ribosomal RNA, 464 nt
Filed under: Vreelandella stevensii
Lineage: Bacteria; Pseudomonadati; Pseudomonadota; Gammaproteobacteria; Oceanospirillales; Halomonadaceae
Description: partial 16S ribosomal RNA
Rfam family: Bacterial small subunit ribosomal RNA
Source: RNAcentral
CCUACGGGUGGCAGCAGUGGGGAAUAUUGGACAAUGGGCGAAAGCCUGAUCCAGCCAUGCCGCGUGUGUGAAGAAGGCCUUCGGGUUGUAAAGCACUUUCAGUGGGGAAGAAAGCCUUGGGGCUAAUACCCUCGAGGAAGGACAUCACCCACAGAAGAAGCACCGGCUAACUCCGUGCCAGCAGCCGCGGUAAUACGGAGGGUGCGAGCGUUAAUCGGAAUUACUGGGCGUAAAGCGCGCGUAGGCGGUCUGAUAAGCCGGUUGUGAAAGCCCCGGGCUCAACCUGGGAACGGCAUCCGGAACUGUCAGGCUAGAGUGCAGGAGAGGAAGGUAGAAUUCCCGGUGUAGCGGUGAAAUGCGUAGAGAUCGGGAGGAAUACCAGUGGCGAAGGCGGCCUUCUGGACUGACACUGACGCUGAGGUGCGAAAGCGUGGGUAGCAAACAGGAUUAGAUACCCGUGUGUC